AUACGUAGGUCCCGAGCGUUGUCCGGAUUUAUUGGGCGUAAAGCGAGCGCAGGUGGUUUAAUAAGUCUGAUGUAAAAGGCAGUGGCUCAACCAUUGUGUGCAUUGGAAACUGUUAGACUUGAGUGCAGUAGAGGAGAGUGGAAUUCCAUGUGUAGCGGUGAAAUGCGUAGAUAUAUGGAGGAACACCGGUGGCGAAAGCGGCUCUCUGGUCUGCAUCUGACACUGAGGAGCGAAAGCCAGGGGAGC
This 246-nucleotide ribosomal RNA is filed under the name uncultured bacterium. Its description in RNAcentral is "partial 16S ribosomal RNA". It matches the Rfam family "Bacterial small subunit ribosomal RNA", at positions 523 to 769 of the family's 1533-position model. The record is from RNAcentral.